CCCGCUGAACUUAAGCAUAUCAAUAAGCGGAGGAAAAGAAACUAACAAGGAUUCCCCUAGUAACUGCGAGUGAAGCGGGAAAAGCUCAAAUUUAAAAUCUGGUGGUCUUUGGCUGCCCGAGUUGUAAUCUAGAGAAGUGUUAUCCGCGCUGGACCGUGUACAAGUCUCCUGGAAUGGAGCGUCAUAGAGGGUGAGAAUCCCGUCUUUGACACGGACUACCAGGGCUUUGUGAUGCGCUCUCAAAGAGUCGAGUUGUUUGGGAAUGCAGCUCUAAAUGGGUGGUAAAUUCCAUCUAAAGCUAAAUAUUGGCGAGAGACCGAUAGCGAACAAGUACCGUGAGGGAAAGAUGAAAAGAACUUUGGAAAGAGAGUUAAACAGUACGUGAAAUUGUUGAAAGGGAAACGCUUGAAGUCAGUCGCGUUGGCCAGGGAUCAACCUUGCUUUUGCUUGGCUUACUUUCUGGUCGAUGGGUCAGCAUCAAUUUUGACUGGUGGAAAAAGUUCAAGGGAAUGUGGCAUCUUCGGAUGUGUUAUAGCCUUUGUUCACAUACAUUGGUUGGGAUUGAGGAACUCAGCACGCCGCAAGGCCGGGUUUUUAACCACGUACGUGCUUAGGAUGCUGGCAUAAUGGCUUUAAUCGACCCGUCUUGAAACACGG
RNAcentral lists this ribosomal RNA (657 nucleotides) under uncultured fungus. RNAcentral's name for it is "eukaryotic LSU rRNA". It matches the Rfam family "Eukaryotic large subunit ribosomal RNA", at positions 24 to 664 of the family's 3401-position model. Lineage: Eukaryota; Fungi. The record is from RNAcentral.